Long non-coding RNA from Oncorhynchus nerka (sockeye salmon), 1249 nucleotides. RefSeq lists it as uncharacterized. NCBI's taxonomy places the organism in Eukaryota, Metazoa, Chordata, Actinopteri, Salmoniformes, Salmonidae. The record is from RefSeq and is a predicted model, not a curated record. The transcript has 2 exons.
CUGCAUUUGCAUGUAAAGGUGAAAGUCAUACAUACUGAACUAUAAAAUGACUCUGCAGUUCAGCUCCUGUUUGACCGGUAGUACAGGUUUGAUUGAAUGCCAGUUAAAUCUUUCACCAAUUCAGUUAAAUUUGAAUUGAAUCGGACAUUGGUUAGGUCUGCACCUCCUCCUGUUGAUAAAACUCCUUAUUGGAAAACAGACCUCAAGCUCAAUAUAUGGAUGCCGGUGGGCGGAGUUGGGAGGGUCGUCAGCUACAUGGGAAACACCUGGGCCCGGUGUCUCCCAGGAUAAAUACCCCACUUCCCCAUUCAUGGAAGAGACUCUCUCCAUGCAGACACACCUGGGCCCGGUGUCUCCCAGGAUAAAUACACCACUUCCCAAUUCAUGGAAGAGACUCUCUCCAUGCAGACACACCUGGGCCCGGUGUCUCCCAGGAUAAAUACACCACUUCCCAAUUCAUGGAAGAGACUCUCUCCAUGCAGACACACCUGGGCCCGGUGUCUCCCAGGAUAAAUACACCACUUCCCCAUUCAUGGAGGAGACUCUCUCCAUGCAGACACACCUGGGCCCGGUGUCUCCCAGGAUAAAUACACCACUUCCCAAUUCAUGGAAGAGACUCUCUCCAUGCAGACACACCUGGGCCCGGUGUCUCCCAGGAUAAAUACACCACUUCCUCAUUCAUGGAGGAAACUCUCUCCAUGCAGACACACCUGGGCCCGGUGUCUCCCAGGAUAAAUACACCACUUCCCCAUUCAUGGAGGAGACUCUCUCCAUGCAGACACACCUGGGCCCGGUGUCUCCCAGGAUAAAUACACCACUUCCCAAUUCAUGGAAGAGACUCUCCAUGCAGACACACCUGGGCCCGGUGUCUCCCAGGAUAAAUACACCACUUCCUCAUUCAUGGAGGAAACUCUCUCCAUGCAGACACACCUGGGCCCGGUGUCUCCCAGGAUAAAUACACCACUUCCCCAUUCAUGGAGGAGACUCUCUCCAUGCAGACACACCUGGGCCCGGUGUCUCCCAGGAUAAAUACACCACUUCCCCAUUCAUGGAGGAGACUCUCUCCAUGCAGACACCUCUACAGAUGUUGUGUAUCUUGGAGGCCUUCUGGUUGUCUGCUUUGGCACCUUUCAACACCCUGCAUUAUCACAUUCAUGCAUGCAAAACACUCACUUACACUACUGAUUACUGAUUACACACACCAUUGUAUAUUGUACUUAGUUUACUUUAUUAAAUAUAUGUUUUGUUA